Non-coding RNA from Mycena vitilis, 97 nucleotides. NCBI's taxonomy places the organism in Eukaryota, Fungi, Basidiomycota, Agaricomycetes, Agaricales, Mycenaceae. The record is from the annotation of a GenBank genome assembly.
GCCUCCAUGGUUCAGUUGGUUAACGAGCUGUAACACAGCCAUCCGAUGUGGGAGAUGUCCCAUGGGAUGGUCGAGGGUUCGAUUCCCUCUGGAGGCA